GUAGUAAGUGAAUAAAUAGGGGGCAAGUCAGCCCCGCGAAACGUGCAGCAAAGCGGCGCCUUUCCGGCCCUUGCGCGCCCCUCUCGAGAUCCCUGCCGCGGCCCCAUCGGAGAGGCUGCGGCGGCUGUGGGCUGUCCGAGCCCCCCUUGGCUUCCCCCCGUUGCAUUUCCCUCGGUUGAAAGGAAGGCGCGGGAGCUUGGUUUGCAACGGAAAGGGAGUCUCUUCCUCCGCCUCGUCUCGGGGGCUUCUCCCCUGUCCUCCCUCCUCACUGAGGGACAGUCGCUUGGCUCGGUUAUUUCUUUGGCAGGGACACAGCUUUCAGAUUGUGGCGCCUUCAGAAGGAGCGUCUGGAGAAAGAGGAGAUUCGCGCCCAGGAAGCUCUCGCCCUCCUGGAGAAAAAGAGGCUGGUGAGCGCGUUUGAGGCCUGGCGUUCCCGCUACAGGGCAGCCCGGCGGAUCCUGCCAUUGGUGGCUCAGGUGCAGAGAGGGCUGCUAAGCCGCUGUUUCCAGGCCUGGAAGUCUGUCACCGACCGGGCGGCGCUAUGCAGGCAUGGCAGGGAACGCCUGCGACUCGAAUCCCUGAGGGUGCAUUUCCAUCAAUGGGCCCUGAUGUUGCAAGUCCGGGAAAAGGCCAAGAAGACUCUGCUGGAGCUGUGGGCCUUGAAGUGGAGGCGAGCCCACGGAAGGCAGCUCGGAGGACGGUAGCCAGGCUAGCAUCUCCUCGUCGUUGACGAUUGAAGACUCAGGGCACCUUCCUCAUCACGGCUCCCCUUCUCCCAGCCAUUUCCCCAGUGACUCGCAAGAUCUCGCUGCCACAGAUCUUCACAUGCAAGCGCCGUUCCCUCUGGGUUAUGGCCACACCCAGAAUCGGAGGCAGCUGCUGGCGAAAUGCUUUGCGUUUUGGUCGGCCAGGACUGUGCAAAACCUGAAGGCAGAACAACACCGCAAGCGGGCUCUCCUCUCCGGGGCUUUCACUUCCUGGUCCGCGGCAGCCGACCGCUUUUCUACAUGGCGCAUGACUCUAGCGUGGUUGGAGAGGGCCAGGGGGCAGCGUCUUCUGGCGUCCUGCUUCGGGAGGUGGAAGGCGGAGUUCCAGAGAGCUGAGCGACGACGGAAAGGCGAACGCCCACGGCGGAGACUGGCGGGGUACGGGGCGAUGUGGCGAUGGAGGAAAGCGAUCAGGGGGUCCUGGGCUCUGCGUUUUAGCUCCGUCAGCCAGAUCUCAGGCCCAACUGAACAGGCCUCGGUCCAGUAUACCUGAAGGAGC
Molecule: non-coding RNA, 1266 nt
Organism: Podarcis muralis (Common wall lizard)
Lineage: Eukaryota; Metazoa; Chordata; Lepidosauria; Squamata; Lacertidae
Source: RefSeq, a predicted model, not a curated record